GACUUAUCUCAGACUUCCAUGGAGGCCACUCAUUUCAGUUGAUGGAAGCACGAUAUAUGAUUUAGAUGACAAAUUCAAAAUUGUUAGGCAUGCUGAGAGUUGGGACAUUUCUGCCCUUGAAGCAAUUGGCCAGAUUUUUACACCUAGUUUUGGAAGGCCUAGUGAAUAAUAUAUGUUCCCUUCUCACAGAAUUUUGAAGAAAGUUCAUACUAUAAUGUUACCAAUUUCAAGCAGUUACCGCUGAUUUGAUUGUUGAGGUUGGAAGCUGGUGCUUAAGCUGUCUAUAAGGAAUACAGAAUUGUUAUACUAGUCACCCAUUCCCAGACUUGUAAGACUAACAUUUGAGUUGUGACAAGGUGAUUCUUGAUGUCAUAUAACUUAGUUGUUGCAUGCUCAAACCCACUGUUAAGAGUGAUUCUACUUAAUAUAGAUCAAGAAAAAUUAGGAAGUGUCUCACUUCUAAAUAUGGCUUGAAAAAUGACUGGACAGAUUUGUUCUCUCUCUCUCUCUCUCUCUCUCUCUCUCUCUCUUAUGAGAUUCAAUAUUUAAUUAAGUUACUAUAA
Molecule: non-coding RNA, 563 nt
Organism: Camellia sinensis
Lineage: Eukaryota; Viridiplantae; Streptophyta; Magnoliopsida; Ericales; Theaceae
Source: RefSeq, a predicted model, not a curated record